RNAcentral lists this ribosomal RNA (465 nucleotides) under uncultured bacterium. Its description in RNAcentral is "partial 16S ribosomal RNA". It matches the Rfam family "Bacterial small subunit ribosomal RNA", at positions 338 to 795 of the family's 1533-position model. The record is from RNAcentral.
CCUACGGGUGGCAGCAGUAGGGAAUCUUCCACAAUGGACGAAAGUCUGAUGGAGCAACGCCGCGUGAGUGAAGAAGGGUUUCGGCUCGGAAAGCUCUGUUGGUAGGGAAGAAAGAUAGAGGUAGUAACUGGCCUUUAUUUGACGGUAAGUACGGAGAAAGUCACGGCUAACUACGUGCCAGCAGCCGCGGUAAUACGUAGGUGGCAAGCGUUGUCCGGAUUUAUUGGGCGUAAAGCGAGUGCCGGCGGUUCAAUAAGUCUGAUGUGAAAGCCUUCGGCUCAACCGGAGAAUUGCAUCCGAAACUUUUGAACUUGAGUGCAGAAGAGGAGAGUGGAACUCCAUGUGUAGCGGUGUAAUGCGUAGAUAUCUGGAAGAACCCCAGUUGCGAAGGCGGCUCUCUGGUCUGCAACUGACGCUGAGGCUCGAAAGCCUGGGUAGCGAACAGGAUUAGAUACCCUUGUAGUC